Long non-coding RNA from Canis lupus familiaris (dog), 752 nucleotides. RefSeq lists it as uncharacterized. The transcript is spliced from 6 exons. NCBI's taxonomy places the organism in Eukaryota, Metazoa, Chordata, Mammalia, Carnivora, Canidae. The record is from RefSeq and is a predicted model, not a curated record.
UUCCUCCUGGAAAAGUCACAGUGGGAGAUGAGAGGCAUCAUGUAUGAAGAUUGACUACCCUGACACUACGAUGCUGGGAGAAAUCCCAGUGAUGUUACUGGUGCCCAAAGAAGUGUGAAGAUUGUCCAGGGCUUGGAAAAGACAUAGAUCGAUAAAGAACAAAAGUGAGUGGGCAGUGAAAGACAACGCAUGAAAGCAUUAAAGAGGAGAGAGCAAUGAACUCCUGCUCAAGAGAAAAAUCGCACCUCAGUGACAAGCCUGCUGUGCAAAAGCCCAUUUAGCAAGAAUAGCCCAGACCUUCAUUUCAAGUUUUAUCAGAAGCCACUGGUCCUAAAGUAUCACUGGCGCCUACUGAAUUUUCACCAGGGACCUAACAGAAAACAUCUGUUCUCUUACUUAAAAUAAGUGAACAUAGUGGCCAAUGUAAUUCAAGGUAACCCCCAUCUCCUUCUCAAGGAGAAAACUGUAAAGCAGAACAGUCUGAUACCACUUCCAUAAAGAAGCUAGCUGCUGUUGAACCUCCAAACUGAACUGAGAGAGUGUGUACACACAAGCAGGAAGGUGGAAGGGAUAAGGAGGAAGGGCAGAGAGAGAAGAAGAGAGAGAAUCUUAAGCAGGCUCCAUGCAUGGAGCCCACUGUGGGGCUCAGUCUCACAACCCUGAGAUCAAGACCUGAGGUAAAAUUGUCGGACACAUAACCAACUGAGCCACCCAGGCGCCCUCCUAGUCAAAUUCUUAAGAUAUAAUAAAAG